Molecule: ribosomal RNA, 492 nt
Filed under: uncultured bacterium
Lineage: Bacteria
Description: partial 16S ribosomal RNA
Rfam family: Bacterial small subunit ribosomal RNA
Source: RNAcentral
AGUGAACGCUGGCGGUAGGCCUAACACAUGCAAGUCGAACGACAGCACAGUAAGCGCUUGCCCUUACCGGUGGCGAGUGGCGGACGGGUGAGACGUACAUCGGCAUCUUCUUUUUCGUGGGGGAUUACGUGGGGCAACUUCCGCUAAUACAGCAUACGACCUACGGGUUAAAGCAGGGGAUAUUCGUAGCUUGCGUGUUUCAUUGAGCCGGUGCCGGAUUAGCUAGUUGGCGGGGUAAAGGCCCACCAAGGCGACGAUCCGUAGCUGAUCUGAGAGGAUGAUCGGCCACACUGGAACUGAGACACGGUCCAGACUCCUACGGGAGGCAGCAGUAGGGAAUAUUGGACAAUGGGCGCAAGCCUGAUGCAGCCACACCGCGUGGGUGAAGAAGGCCUUCGGGUUGUAAAGCCCUGUUGUUAGGAAAGAAAAGCAGCGGAAUAAUACGCGGAUGUUCUGACGGUACCCAAAGAGAAAGCACCGGCUAACUACGUG